UAUCUGACACUUCCCCUCUCAUUCUUACAGCUUUUCUAGCUCCUGACACCAUACCCAGUAUUUUAACCACUUACCUUGCCAGCUAUUUUCCUGGCUCAAACCAUGUGAUGUAGAUAAUAAGAGUCAAGUACUCUGCAUGGGGCCUUGGAUUUGGAUGUUGGGGAGCAUCCUGGAUCCUUGCCUAGGUCUGGACAUCUCUCCUGUCCUGCCCUCCCAGCUUUGUCCUAGCAUCGGCUCCACUCCCAACUUCAGGACCUCAUGGUGAUGUGCAGUUCUAAUAUACCUAACAAGAUAUCAGUCCAGGCUACCAAACCACAUGUUGGUCACCCCUGAACCAGCUAAACAAGAUGUUUGCUUCUCACAUUUGCUCCUGUUAGGCUAAAAGGGGUCAUAGUGCUGGGCACAUAGCAGGUACUUGGUUAAUAUUUAUUUCAUGAAUGGAUGAAUAAGCCUUAAAUUCAUCGCCUCCUUCUUACAUUAUUAAAGUCAGCCUCCUGGGCAAUAAGACCUAAAAAUACAACCAAAAGGAGGGAAACUGGAGAUAUCGCCACAGACAUUCCUUUUGGUUCGGCAUCCACAUGGCAAACACAAUCUCCAGAACGGUGCAGUGAUGGCAUUGGAUGUGCCAGCCAGUCUUCCCUGUGGAUAUGAAGGCCAAUCUUGCAGAAACUGAGAAAACAUGGCUGGCAAAUCAAUAACCUCUGGUCUGGGGAUCAAGAUAAUUCAAGAAGAAGAAGAGAGUGUGUGUGUUUUCCUCCAUAAGUUUCCUAAGCAAUUGUAUCAGUCUAUCCCCACUUAUAGGUACUUUGCAAUGGUGUCCUUUCAUAAUCAGAGAGUCACAGCCCCACGUGUGCCUUCGGGAGUUCUAACGCUGCUGUUGGCCACAAGUGGGACCCGGAGCAAUUCGUGUACAUUUUCAGGAUCUCAAUUUUCCCAUCUUUAAAAUAAAAGAAGGUCCUUGAUCAUUAGAAAAGGGGGAAAGGAGGAGGAUUAUUAGUCUCAGAACUCAAUGGAAAAAUAAAACUUAAUGAAAAGAUGGUAUAAGAACCUUUCUGCUCUAAACUUCCAUGAGUUUAUGUCCACGUUUAUAUAUUGGCUUGAGCAUGAUCUACUGUUAAUGAUUAUGUGCCACCCUUAAUGGGACAAGAUGUACUUUCGACACUGCCCUUCCA
Molecule: long non-coding RNA, 1172 nt
Filed under: Homo sapiens (human)
Lineage: Eukaryota; Metazoa; Chordata; Mammalia; Primates; Hominidae
Description: HSALNT0097636
Source: RNAcentral